Long non-coding RNA from Nothobranchius furzeri (turquoise killifish), 222 nucleotides. RefSeq lists it as uncharacterized. The record is from RefSeq and is a predicted model, not a curated record. Lineage: Eukaryota; Metazoa; Chordata; Actinopteri; Cyprinodontiformes; Nothobranchiidae.
GAACCUGGAGCUAACCUGUGUACUGCUAACUUGCUACAGAGGAAGCAGCAGAAAGCUGAGCUAACAGGCUGUUUUGCAGAUUGAAAACUACUGCAUUGCAUUACAAUGGAAGUGCUACACGGCCACAUGCAUCAACUGCAGCUGUUGACAAGCAUAUGGACCUAUUGUUCGAGUCCGUGGUGGUGGAUGCUCUAUCAUAUCAGGAAUCCGUGGUGGUGGAUG